UGUACAAAGGUCUCUUGAUUAAAAAGGAUGAAUCAUUUCAUGGUUUAUUAUUAUUAUUUUAUAUAUAUGUGUGUGUAUAUAUAUGUGUGUGUGAGAGAGAGAGAGAAAAAUGAAGAAGGAAAAAGCCUUCAAAGUAAAAAUGAAAGGCAAAUUUGGAUAGUUUACAUAAUACCUUAUAUAAGUGGGGAAUACCAAGAUAAUAAGAUUAUUUAAUAAUAGCAAAUGAAUCAAAUAGAAUACUUUUGGAUGCUUAUCUAUCUCUGCCAACACAGUCUCAUAGUAUAACAAUGCUAUAUGUUACUCGUGUAAUUGUCACAUGACAUGGCAAGCCAUUGUUAUGGCAAGCUAAAAAAACAAUUUGAAGAUAAUAGGUUACGGUCUACAUCAAAACGAUUUUAACAAAGUACGCAAGGACGGCUUAUAUAUUUUUAAUUUUCUUAAAUCCAUCAUAUUAUAACUGCAAUUCUGAAGAAAUGAAAUAUUUUCCCGCUGCGAAUACAACAGUUCUGUUAUACGAAGAACGAAAAAAUAGAAUAUGAUAUAGCGCAUAUUGCGUUACGAAAUUCUUUUAUUCCCGUAUUUUUCCAAGAAUAUAUUGUGAUUCUAGAAAACAAAGAGCGUAAUUAGCAUAGGAACGAAAUAGAAAGGAAGAAAGAAGAGAUAAUGUUAUUAGAAUAGAAUGUUAUCAAUCGUAACAGUUCACGGACAUUAAAAACGUUCGAAAAAAAAAAGUCGAUGGCAAUCGGAUAUAGCGAAAUUAGAGAUAGUCUAUUUCUAUUUACAAACAAUGAGCGUUUAUUUAAAUGACCAUAAAGGCUUAUGAAAAGAUAAAGCGCAUUAAUUAAACGGUUAUUGACCUCUGCGUUUCAAUAACAAAACGAACAUAACGCUAUCUUGUUUCAACCCGAUUGAUUAAAUUUAUUCUGGAAGGUGCAUAAUAUGUCAAUUAUCCUCUACUGGACGACACAGAAGCCCACUGCUAUACGUUAUAGCUAUUCUUGUAACACAGGAAGUAGCAAAUAACGGCGGAGAAUUGUCGCAAACGAGGGAGAUUAAUCGUAAAUACGACAGAGAGGCGAAAGAGCGUAAGAAAACGUGGACGGCGUUGCCGACUUAUUUAGUUGUAAAAUUAAGUAAAGAAAGAGCUAAUGAAGAAGGAAGAAAGAACGCAAGAAUAAAAGAGAAAAAGAGGGGAAAGAAAGAAAGAAAGAAAGUAAAAGAGGAAAGCAAAAAAGCGAUAUCGUCCGUGACGGAAAACCGAAUUUUUUCAUUUGUAGAAAACAACGAGAAAAAGAUAAAAAAGAAGUGACGUACCUUGACGGUAAUAUUUGGCUUAUUGUUUAGAAUCCGUGAUUCGACACUUCUGCGGGUUCGUUGAUAUGACGUUUCUCCAUUAUCGUCGUGGUUGUUGCUGUCUUUAUUGAAAAUAAUGGUCUUCCUGGAUUGCAAAGAUCCGGUAUCCUCAACGAUGUGCAAAGUCUUUGGUUUAUCACCGAAUCUUUCGCCAUUAUUAGAACCGGUGAGGAAGAACAGAUAAAAUGCAAGGGCGCAAUAACAAAAGACCGAACUCGUCCCGCCGGCCAUCUUGCUCAGACUGACUUUUUUCAAUGACAGGAUGAAUACACGCAAUAGCAAUGGGAGGGGAAAGGAGGGAAUGUAUGCGGCGUUUUCACGCAUGCGCAUUAAGUUAUGCGUGCUAAUACGCAAGCAACAUGGAUGAGUAAUCACCAAAGCGCGCGCGCGCGCACGUAUUACAUAUACAUCAAAUCGCGAAUCUUCUCGAGAUGUACAUGUAGAGACGAAGAAAAAAUCUUUAUGCGUGAUAUAUGGCGAUUCGUAUAUGUAUACGAUAUCAUGUUUGGAAUGUAAAAUAUUAUGUAUUGUAAAAUUAUUUAAACGAAAUAUCGAUAGUAAAUUUUCUACGUACCUUGCACAUGACGAAUUUUUAUUCUGUCUUAUAAGUAUAAACAUUUAAUUAUAUACUGUGAUUCCAUCGAGUUUUGAAAACCGGAUAAAGCAGUAAAUCGAAGCACUAGGAAUAGUACUAUUGUCUAAAGUCAUUCUUUUCUUUGUAUUGG
Long non-coding RNA from Vespula vulgaris, 2078 nucleotides. RefSeq lists it as uncharacterized. The record is from RefSeq and is a predicted model, not a curated record. NCBI's taxonomy places the organism in Eukaryota, Metazoa, Arthropoda, Insecta, Hymenoptera, Vespidae. The transcript has 3 exons.